Molecule: ribosomal RNA, 424 nt
Filed under: Verrucomicrobiota bacterium
Lineage: Bacteria; Pseudomonadati; Verrucomicrobiota
Description: Verrucomicrobia bacterium partial 16S ribosomal RNA
Rfam family: Bacterial small subunit ribosomal RNA
Source: RNAcentral
UGAGGAAUAUUGGUCAAUGGGCGAGAGCCUGAACCAGCCAAGUCGCGUGAAGGAAGACUGCCCGCAAGGGUUGUAAACUUCUUUUGUAUGGGAUUAAAGUCGUCUACGUGUAGGCGUUUGCAGUUACCAUACGAAUAAGCAUCGGCUAACUACGUGCCAGCAGCCGCGGUAAUACGUAGGUGGCAAGCGUUGUCCGGAAUUAUUGGGCGUAAAGCGCGCGCAGGCGGACUAGCCAGUCAGUCUUAAAAGUUCGGGGCUUAACCCCGUGAUGGGAUUGAAACUACUAGUCUAGAGUAUCGGAGAGGAAAGUGGAAUUCCUAGUGUAGCGGUGAAAUGCGUAGAUAUUAGGAAGAACACCAGUGGCGAAGGCGACUUUCUGGACGAACACUGACGCUGAGGCGCGAAAGCCAGGGGAGCGAACGGG